AGAGUUUGAUCCUGGCUCAGAAUCAACGCUGGCGGCGUGCCUAACACAUGCAAGUCGAACGCGAAAGUCCCGCAAGGGAUCAGUAGAGUGGCAAACGGGUGAGUAACGCGUGGGUGACCUGCCUUCGAGCGGGGGAUAACGUUCCGAAAGGGACGCUAAUACCGCAUGACAUCCCGUCUUUUAACAGGCGGAGAUCAAAG
Molecule: ribosomal RNA, 200 nt
Filed under: uncultured bacterium
Lineage: Bacteria
Description: partial 16S ribosomal RNA
Rfam family: Bacterial small subunit ribosomal RNA
Source: RNAcentral